This 64-nucleotide transfer RNA is filed under the name Potamilus streckersoni. Its description in RNAcentral is "tRNA-Lys". The record is from RNAcentral. Lineage: Eukaryota; Metazoa; Mollusca; Bivalvia; Unionida; Unionidae.
UUCUCGAUGGCCGAGACAAGGCAUUAAGCUUUUAACUUAAUCACAGUACCAAAACUUCGAGAAC